Molecule: ribosomal RNA, 206 nt
Filed under: uncultured bacterium
Lineage: Bacteria
Description: partial 16S ribosomal RNA
Rfam family: Bacterial small subunit ribosomal RNA
Source: RNAcentral
GGAUUGUAGUCUGCAACCCGACUACAUGAAGCCGGAAUCGCUAGUAAUCGCGGAUCAGAAUGCCGCGGUGAAUACGUUCCCGGGUCUUGUACACACCGCCCGUCACACCAUGGGAGUUGGAAAUGCCCGAAGUCAGUGGCCCAACCGGAAGGGGGGAGCUGCCGAAGGCAGGUUCGAUGACUGGGGUGAAGUCGUAACAAGGUAUC